AUUGAACGCUGGCGGCAUGCCUUACACAUGCAAGUCGAACGGCAGCACGGGUGCUUGCACCUGGUGGCGAGUGGCGAACGGGUGAGUAAUAUAUCGGAACGUACCUUAUUGUGGGGGAUAACGCAGCGAAAGCUGUGCUAAUACCGCAUAAUCCCUUAGGGGGAAAGCGGGGGACCGUAAGGCCUCGCGCAAUUAGAGCGGCCGAUACCUGAUUAGCUAGUUGGUGAGGUAAAGGCUCACCAAGGCAACGAUCAGUAGCUGGUCUGAGAGGACGAUCAGCCACACUGGGACUGAGACACGGCCCAGACUCCUACGGGAGGCAGCAGUGGGGAAUUUUGGACAAUGGGGGCAACCCUGAUCCAGCAAUGCCGCGUGAGUGAAGAAGGCCUUCGGGUUGUAAAGCUCUUUUGUCAGGGAAGAAACAGCA
RNAcentral lists this ribosomal RNA (427 nucleotides) under Polynucleobacter sp. Fw70s-37. Its description in RNAcentral is "bacterial SSU rRNA". It matches the Rfam family "Bacterial small subunit ribosomal RNA", at positions 30 to 455 of the family's 1533-position model. Lineage: Bacteria; Pseudomonadati; Pseudomonadota; Betaproteobacteria; Burkholderiales; Burkholderiaceae. The record is from RNAcentral.